Long non-coding RNA from Anguilla anguilla (European eel), 1247 nucleotides. RefSeq lists it as uncharacterized. NCBI's taxonomy places the organism in Eukaryota, Metazoa, Chordata, Actinopteri, Anguilliformes, Anguillidae. The record is from RefSeq and is a predicted model, not a curated record. The transcript is spliced from 2 exons.
CAUUUCACUCAGUUAGGAACCUUCCUAAGCAAAAAAGACUAUUCGGACGCAGCCAUAGUGUCACCAGUGAUAUCGGGUCUGAGCAAUCAUUCCACCUGGGAUGCUCAAAGGAAAGAGCAUUUCUGGAAUCCAGAAUCCUCUGAUGGAUGAACUCUUUAUACCUGACUGCAGUCUGUUUCCAGACUACUACUCGGGAUUCUUCAGCCAGUUAUCACUCAAGUUGUUACCUUUGAAAAAAAUUAAGUUGGCUCAGAAUUAAACCUUCUCUCCACCAGUCCAUCACUACCGCAUAAACAAAAAACAGGCUUGUGUGUAGAAAACAGCCUAGGUCAGUAACAUCAAAGUCUAAAAACCCACAACCUAACUGCAACUCUGAGGUAACCUGGAAUAUUUGAAUUGUCACCUCAUUUUAUAAUGUCAACAUUUUCAAAAAUGUUUACCAUGUGCUUUGAAAGAGCUCUUCACAAAUAAGAAGGUCAACAGAUAGUGCAGUGUACCUGGAGUGUACCUCUGGGGAACACUCCAGUCCCAUGCAAUAGUGAAAUAUGACGUACCGGGAGUACUUUAAAGUUUCUUGAAGUUGCCUAUGGUGUACAAGUUACACAUGACAAAAAAACUUCAAAAGCUGUAAACAUACUGAGAAGACUAUAUAUUGUAACAUAACAAUAUAUUGGUACAUAACUACCAGUUCACUUUAAUUUUCUAAUAUUAAGACAUUCAGGUAAUGAGAAUAUCUGUGUGUGGGAACACCUAUUGAUGUGCAAAUGCAGUCAACACGUACUUAGGUGGAGUGAGAUGGUGAACAUACAAAUAAGUUACAGCAUAGCAAUUCUAGUUUAAUAGACAAAGACGCAUGACUGUGGUAGGUCCAUGUGUUCUAUCUACAUGUAGUCAGUGGGACCAAUCGCAAGUUCCCGGCUGGGCUAGACUAAGAUUUCAUAUAUUUGCUGUGUUUCCACUACUUGUGUGUGGAAAUGCAGUCCAUUUACCAUUUGUGUGUAUAUAUGGCUUGGAUCUGCAGUGAUCUUUAAUAUUUGGCGUGUAAGGCUUUCACCCUUGUGUAUCCGUUCAUAGUGAUCUUAUUCCCUUUCGGGCAGGCUCCAUGUGUAUCCUCCUCUAGUGGCCAGUCACGGUUACAGUUGUGUAUGAGGAUUGGGAUAGCCAGUAGGAGGUUGUUUUUUGCUUUUUUUAACAAAUAAAUGCUAUGUAUUGUCCUCCAAUGACUGUAAUAAAAUACCCUUUAUUUU